UGUCCAAUGCGGGAAUCGAACCCGGGUCCUAGUGGUCGAAAACCAAAUGGUUUAACCAUUGUAAACUAGACGAAUGGCC
Non-coding RNA from Cordylochernes scorpioides, 79 nucleotides. The record is from the annotation of a GenBank genome assembly. NCBI's taxonomy places the organism in Eukaryota, Metazoa, Arthropoda, Arachnida, Pseudoscorpiones, Chernetidae.